Myotis davidii is the source of this 356-nucleotide long non-coding RNA. RefSeq lists it as uncharacterized. The transcript is spliced from 4 exons. The record is from RefSeq and is a predicted model, not a curated record. NCBI's taxonomy places the organism in Eukaryota, Metazoa, Chordata, Mammalia, Chiroptera, Vespertilionidae.
AGGUUUUAUUUACUGUCAAGUGUCCUUUAAUUUUCUCAUGAAGAACUCUCUCUAGUAUUUCUUGUAAGAGUUCUUGGGGACAGCCUGCUUGGGUUUAAAUGCCAUCUCCACCACUUAUUUAGCUGUGUGACUUUGGAUAUUAACCAAAUCUACCUUUCCUAAAGGUCAGGCCUCCCUGGCUGGCCAGCCCUCUGGUCACAUCAGAAGACCCACAACUCUCUCACACUCUAUUCCAUAUCCCAGUUGGAUACAGGUUGAAUAAAAAUGUGCUUUCUGGCCCUCACACUUAGUUUAUGUGAGUGAAUGCUGAUGGAAAUGGAGAGAGAGCACGUGAAAGAAAUAUCGAUGAGAGAAAC